GAGCGGUAACAGGUGUAGCAAUACAUGCUGACGAGCGGCGAACGGGUGAGUAAUGCUUUGGAAUCUUCCCAGUAGUGGGGAAUAACCAGUCGAAAGAUUGGCUAAUACCGCAUACAUCUGUAAAGGGAAAGCGGGGGCUCGUAAGACCUCGCGCUAUUGGAUGAGCCAAAGUCGGAUUAGCUAGUUGGUGGGGUAAUGGCCUACCAAGGCGACAAUCCGUAGCUGGUCUGAGAGGACGACCAGCCACACCGGAACUGAGACACGGUCCGGACUCCUACGGGAGGCAGCAGUGGGGAAUAUUGGACAAUGGGGGCAACCCUGAUCCAGCGACGCCGCGUGUGUGAAGAAGGCCCGCGGGUUGUAAAGCACUUUUAGUGGGGACAAAAAGCUACGGAUUAACACCCUGUGGUCUUGAUUUAACCCACAGAAAAAGCACCGGCUAACUCUGUG
RNAcentral lists this ribosomal RNA (450 nucleotides) under uncultured bacterium. RNAcentral describes it as "bacterial SSU rRNA". It matches the Rfam family "Bacterial small subunit ribosomal RNA", at positions 64 to 507 of the family's 1533-position model. The record is from RNAcentral.